UCCGCAAUGGGCGAAAGCCUGACGGAGCAACGCCGCGUGAGUGAUGAAGGUCUUCGGAUCGUAAAACUCUGUUAUCAGGGAAGAACAAAUGUGUAAGUAACUGUGCACAUCUUGACGGUACCUGAUCAGAAAGCCACGGCUAACUACGUGCCAGCAGCCGCGGUAAUACGUAGGUGGCAAGCGUUAUCCGGAAUUAUUGGGCGUAAAGCGCGCGUAGGCGGUUUUUUAAGUCUGAUGUGAAAGCCCACGGCUCAACCGUGGAGGGUCAUUGGAAACUGGAAAACUUGAGUGCAGAAGAGGAAAGUGGAAUUCCAUGUGUAGCGGUGAAAUGCGCAGAGAUAUGGAGGAACACCAGUGGCGAAGGCGACUUUCUGGUCUGUAACUGACGCUGAUGUGCGAAAGCGUGGGGAUCAAACAGGAUUAGAUACCCUGGUAGUCCACGCCGUAAACGAUGAGUGCUAAGUGUUAGGGGGUUUCCGCCCCUUAGUGCUGCAGCUAACGCAUUAA
This 507-nucleotide ribosomal RNA is filed under the name bacterium. RNAcentral's name for it is "bacterial SSU rRNA". It matches the Rfam family "Bacterial small subunit ribosomal RNA", at positions 365 to 863 of the family's 1533-position model. The record is from RNAcentral.